CCUACGGGUGGCAGCAGUGAGGAAUAUUGGUCAAUGGACGAGAGUCUGAACCAGCCAAGUAGCGUGAAGGAUGACUGCCCUAUGGGUUGUAAACUUCUUUUAUAUGGGAAUAAAAUGUUCCACGUGUGGGAUUUUGUAUGUCCCAUAUUAAUAAGGAUCGGCUAACUCCGUGCCAGCAGCCGGGGUAAUACGGAGGAUCCGAGCGUUAUCCGGAUUUAUUGGGUUUAAAGGGUGCGUAGGUGGAUUGUUAAGUUAGUUGUGAAAGGUUGCGGCUCAACCGUAAAAUUGCAGUUGAAACUGGCAGUCUAGAGUACAGGAGAGGUGGGUGGAAUGCGUGGUGUAGCGGUGAAAUGCUUAGAGAUCAAGAAGAAGUCUGAUUGCGAAGGCAGUCUACUGGACCGCAACUGACACUGAGGCGCGAAAGUGUGGGUAUCAAACAGGAUUAGAUACCCCUGUAGUC
RNAcentral lists this ribosomal RNA (460 nucleotides) under uncultured bacterium. Its description in RNAcentral is "partial 16S ribosomal RNA". It matches the Rfam family "Bacterial small subunit ribosomal RNA", at positions 338 to 795 of the family's 1533-position model. The record is from RNAcentral.